RNAcentral lists this ribosomal RNA (624 nucleotides) under Escherichia coli. RNAcentral's name for it is "partial 23S ribosomal RNA". It matches the Rfam family "Bacterial large subunit ribosomal RNA", at positions 165 to 831 of the family's 2925-position model. The record is from RNAcentral. Lineage: Bacteria; Pseudomonadati; Pseudomonadota; Gammaproteobacteria; Enterobacterales; Enterobacteriaceae.
CAUAGGUUAAUGAGGCGAACCGGGGGAACUGAAACAUCUAAGUACCCCGAGGAAAAGAAAUCAACCGAGAUUCCCCCAGUAGCGGCGAGCGAACGGGGAGGAGCCCAGAGCCUGAAUCAGUGUGUGUGUUAGUGGAAGCGUCUGGAAAGGCGCGCGAUACAGGGUGACAGCCCCGUACACAAAAAUGCACAUAUUGUGAGCUCGAUGAGUAGGGCGGGACACGUGGUAUCCUGUCUGAAUAUGGGGGGACCAUCCUCCAAGGCUAAAUACUCCUGACUGACCGAUAGUGAACCAGUACCGUGAGGGAAAGGCGAAAAGAACCCCGGCGAGGGGAGUGAAAAAGAACCUGAAACCGUGUACGUACAAGCAGUGGGAGCCUCUUAAUGGGGUGACUGCGUACCUUUUGUAUAAUGGGUCAGCGACUUAUAUUCUGUAGCAAGGUUAACCGAAUAGGGGAGCCGAAGGGAAACCGAGUCUUAACUGGGCGUUAAGUUGCAGGGUAUAGACCCGAAACCCGGUGAUCUAGCCAUGGGCAGGUUGAAGGUUGGGUAACACUAACUGGAGGACCGAACCGACUAAUGUUGAAAAAUUAGCGGAUGACUUGUGGCUGGGGGUGAAAGGCCA